RNAcentral lists this ribosomal RNA (226 nucleotides) under uncultured bacterium. RNAcentral's name for it is "partial 16S ribosomal RNA". It matches the Rfam family "Bacterial small subunit ribosomal RNA", at positions 16 to 231 of the family's 1533-position model. The record is from RNAcentral.
GACCUGGCUCAGGAUGAACGCUAGCUACAGGCUUAACACAUGCAAGUCGAGGGGCAGCAUGGUCUUAGCUUGCUAAGGCUGAUGGCGACCGGCGCACGGGUGAGUAACACGUAUCCAACCUGCCGUCUACUCUUGGCCAGCCUUCUGAAAGGAAGAUUAAUCCAGGAUGGGAUCAUGAGUUCACAUGUCCGCAUGAUUAAAGGUAUUUUCUGGUAGACGAUGGGGA